GCGCCAUUAGCUCAGUUGGUAGAGCAACUGACUCUUAAUCAGUGGGUCGUAGGUUCGAUCCCUACAUGGCGCA
RNAcentral lists this transfer RNA (73 nucleotides) under Chlamydiota bacterium. Its description in RNAcentral is "Chlamydiae bacterium (groundwater metagenome) tRNA-Lys". It matches the Rfam family "tRNA". From Rfam's summary of the family: Transfer RNA (tRNA) molecules are approximately 80 nucleotides in length. Their secondary structure includes four short double-helical elements and three loops (D, anti-codon, and T loops). Further hydrogen bonds mediate the characteristic L-shaped molecular structure. tRNAs have two regions of fundamental functional importance: the anti-codon, which is responsible for specific mRNA codon recognition, and the 3' end, to which the tRNAs corresponding amino acid is attached (by aminoacyl-tRNA synthetases). tRNAs cope with the degeneracy of the genetic code in two manners: having more than one tRNA (with a specific anti-codon) for a particular amino acid; and 'wobble' base-pairing, i.e. permitting non-standard base-pairing at the 3rd anti-codon position. The record is from RNAcentral. Lineage: Bacteria; Pseudomonadati; Chlamydiota.